RNAcentral lists this ribosomal RNA (254 nucleotides) under uncultured bacterium. RNAcentral's name for it is "partial 16S ribosomal RNA". It matches the Rfam family "Bacterial small subunit ribosomal RNA", at positions 524 to 776 of the family's 1533-position model. The record is from RNAcentral.
UACGGAAGAUCCGAGCGUUAUCCGGAAUUACUGGGCGUAAAGAGUUGCGUAGGUGGCAUGUAAAGCGAACAGUGAAAGACUAUGGCUCAACCAUAGGUACAUUGUUCGAACUCACAAGCUAGAGCACAGCAGAGGUACCUGGAAUUCCCAGUGUAGGAGUGAAAUCCGUAGAUAUUGGGAGGAACACCGAUGGCGUAGGCAGGGUACUGGGCUGUUGCUGACACUAAGGCACGAAAGCGUGGGGAGCGAACGGG